UACGGAGGGGCUAGCGUUGUUCGGAAUUACUGGGCGUAAAGCGCACGUAGGCGGCUUUGCAAGUUAGAGGUGAAAGCCCGGGGCUCAACUCCGGAAUUGCCUUUAAAACUGCAUCGCUAGAGUUGUGGAGAGGUAAGUGGAAUUCCGAGUGUAGAGGUGAAAUUCGUAGAUAUUCGGAAGAACACCAGUGGCGAAGGCGACUUACUGGACACAUACUGACGCUGAGGUGCGAAAGCGUGG
Molecule: ribosomal RNA, 240 nt
Filed under: uncultured bacterium
Lineage: Bacteria
Description: partial 16S ribosomal RNA
Rfam family: Bacterial small subunit ribosomal RNA
Source: RNAcentral